This 404-nucleotide ribosomal RNA is filed under the name uncultured bacterium. Its description in RNAcentral is "bacterial SSU rRNA". It matches the Rfam family "Bacterial small subunit ribosomal RNA", at positions 356 to 774 of the family's 1533-position model. The record is from RNAcentral.
GGGGAAUUUUACGCAAUGGGGGAAACCCUGACGUAGCGACACCGCGUGAGCGAAGAAGCCUUUUGGGGUGUAAAGCUCUGUCAGCUGGAACGAACACAAUGACGGUACCAGCAGAGGAAGCAUCGGCUAACUACGUGCCAGCAGCCGCGGUAAGACGUAGGAUGCAAGCGUUGUCCGGAUUCAUUGGGCGUAAAGAGUUCGUAGGUGGUCUGUUAAGUUUGGUGUUAAAGAGCGGGGCCCAACCCCGAUAGUGCACUGAAUACUGGCAGACUUGAGUGCGGUAGAGGUAAGUGGAAUUCCAAGUGUAGCGGUGAAAUGCAUAGAUAUUUGGAAGAACACCGGUGGCGUAAGCGACUUACUGGGCCGUAACUGACACUGAGGAACGAAAGCCGGGGUAGCGAAUG